Molecule: ribosomal RNA, 325 nt
Filed under: uncultured eukaryote
Lineage: Eukaryota
Description: partial 18S ribosomal RNA
Rfam family: Eukaryotic small subunit ribosomal RNA
Source: RNAcentral
CCCUUAGAUGUUCUGGGCCGCACGCGCGCUACACUGAUGCAUUCAACGAGCCUAUCCUUGACCGACAGGUCCGGGUAAUCUUUGAAUCUGCAUCGUGACGGGGAUAGAUUAUUGCAAUUAUUAAUCUUCAACGAGGAAUGCCUAGUAGGCGCAAGUCAUCAGCUUGCGUCGAUUACGUCCCUGCCCUUUGUACACACCGCCCGUCGCUCCUACCGAUUGGGUGUGCUGGUGAAAUGUUCGGAUCGGCCGUUUGUCGCGGUUUCCGCGUCAUGUGGCUGAGAAGUUCAUUAAACCCUCCCACCUAGUGGAAGGAGAAGUCGUAACA